AAGGUUAAGCCUCACGGUUCAUUAGUACCGGUUAGCUCAACGCAUCGCUGCGCUUACACACCCGGCCUAUCAACGUCGUCGUCUUCAACGUUCCUUCAGGACUCUCAAGGAGUCAGGGAGAACUCAUCUCGGGGCAAGUUUCGUGCUUAGAUGCUUUCAGCACUUAUCUCUUCCGCAUUUAGCUACCGGGCAGUGCCAUUGGCAUGACAACCCGAACACCAGUGAUGCGUCCACUCCGGUCCUCUCGUACUAGGAGCAGCCCCCCUCAGUUCUCCAGCGCCCACGGCAGAUAGGGACCGAACUGUCUCACGACGUUCUAAACCCAGCUCGCGUACCACUUUAAAUGGCGAACAGCCAUACCCUUGGGACCUACUUCAGCCCCAGGAUGUGAUGAGCCGACAUCGAGGUGCCAAACACCGCCGUCGAUAUGAACUCUUGGGCGGUAUCAGCCUGUUAUCCCCGGAGUACCUUUUAUCCGUUGAGCGAUGGCCCUUCCAUUCAGAACCACCGGAUCACUAUGACCUGCUUUCGCACCUGCUCGCGCCGUCACGCUCGCAGUCAAGCUGGCUUAUGCCAUUGCACUAACCUCCUGAUGUCCGACCAGGAUUAGCCAACCUUCGUGCUCCUCCGUUACUCUUUAGGAGGAGACCGCCCCAGUCAAACUACCCACCAGACACUGUCCGCAACCCGGAUUACGGGUCCACGUUAGAACAUCAAACAUUAAAGGGUGGUAUUUCAAGGCCGGCUCCAUGCAGACUGGCGUCCACACUUCUAAGCCUCCCACCUAUCCUACACAUCAAGGCUCAAUGUUCAGUGUCAAGCUAUAGUAAAGGUUCACGGGGUCUUUCCGUCUUGCCGCGGGUACACUGCAUCUUCACAGCGAGUUCAAUUUCACUGAGUCUCGGGUGGAGACAGCCUGGCCAUCAUUACGCCAUUCGUGCAGGUCGGAACUUACCCGACAAGGAAUUUCGCUACCUUAGGACCGUUAUAGUUACGGCCGCCGUUUACCGGGGCUUCGAUCAAGAGCUUCGCUUGCGCUGACCCCAUCAAUUAACCUUCCGGCACCGGGCAGGCGUCACACCGUAUACGUCCACUUUCGUGUUUGCACAGUGCUGUGUUUUUAAUAAACAGUUGCAGCCAGCUGGUAUCUUCGACUGAUUUCAGCUCCAUCCGCGAGGGACUUCACCUACAUAUCAGCGUGCCUUCUCCCGAAGUUACGGCACCAUUUUGCCUAGUUCCUUCACCCGAGUUCUCUCAAGCGCCUUGGUAUUCUCUACCUGACCACCUGUGUCGGUUUGGGGUACGAUUUGAUGUUACCUGAUGCUUAGAGGCUUUUCCUGGAAGCAGGGCAUUUGUUGCUUCAGCACCGUAGUGCCUCGUCAUCACGCCUCAGCCUUGAUUUUCCGGAUUUGCCUGGAAAAUCAGCCUACACGCUUAAACCGGGACAACCGUCGCCCGGCCAACAUAGCCUUCUCCGUCCCCCCUUCGCAGUAACACCAAGUACAGGAAUAUUAACCUGUUUCCCAUCGACUACGCCUUUCGGCCUCGCCUUAGGGGUCGACUCACCCUGCCCCGAUUAACGUUGGACAGGAACCCUUGGUCUUCCGGCGAGCGGGCUUUUCACCCGCUUUAUCGUUACUUAUGUCAGCAUUCGCACUUCUGAUACCUCCAGCAUGCCUCACAGCACACCUUCACAGGCCUACAGAACGCUCCCCUACCCAACAACGCAUAAGCGUCGCUGCCGCAGCUUCGGUGCAUGGUUUAGCCCCGUUACAUCUUCCGCGCAGGCCGACUCGACCAGUGAGCUAUUACGCUUUCUUUAAAUGAUGGCUGCUUCUAAGCCAACAUCCUGGCUGUCUGGGCCUUCCCACAUCGUUUCCCACUUAACCAUGACUUUGGGACCUUAGCUGGCGGUCUGGGUUGUUUCCCUCUUCACGACGGACGUUAGCACCCGCCGUGUGUCUCCCGUGAUAACAUUCUCCGGUAUUCGCAGUUUGCAUCGGGUUGGUAAGUCGGGAUGACCCCCUUGCCGAAACAGUGCUCUACCCCCGGAGAUGAAUUCACGAGGCGCUACCUAAAUAGCUUUCGGGGAGAACCAGCUAUCUCCCGGUUUGAUUGGCCUUUCACCCCCAGCCACAAGUCAUCCGCUAAUUUUUCAACAUUAGUCGGUUCGGUCCUCCAGUUAGUGUUACCCAACCUUCAACCUGCCCAUGGCUAGAUCACCGGGUUUCGGGUCUAUACCCUGCAACUUAACGCCCAGUUAAGACUCGGUUUCCCUUCGGCUCCCCUAUUCGGUUAACCUUGCUACAGAAUAUAAGUCGCUGACCCAUUAUACAAAAGGUACGCAGUCACCCCAUAAAGAGGCUCCCACUGCUUGUACGUACACGGUUUCAGGUUCUUUUCCACUCCCCUCACCGGGGUUCUUUUCGCCUUUCCCUCACGGUACUGGUUCACUAUCGGUCAGUCAGGAGUAUUUAGCCUUGGAGGAUGGUCCCCCCAUAUUCAGACAGGAUACCACGUGUCCCGCCCUACUCAUCGAGCUCACAGCAUGUGCAUUUUUGUGUACGGGGCUGUCACCCUGUAUCGCGCGCCUUUCCAGACGCUUCCACUAACACACACACUGAUUCAGGCUCUGGGCUGCUCCCCGUUCGCUCGCCGCUACUGGGGGAAUCUCGGUUGAUUUCUUUUCCUCGGGGUACUUAGAUGUUUCAGUUCCCCCGGUUCGCCUCAUUAACCUAUGGAUUCAGUUAAUGAUAGUGUGUCGAAACACACUGGGUUUCCCCAUUCGGAAAUCGCCGGUUAUAACGGUUCAUAUCACCUUACCGACGCUUAUCGCAGAUUAGCACGUCCUUCAUCGCCUCUGACUGCCAGGGCAUCCACCGUGUACGCUUAGUCGCUUAA
This 2901-nucleotide ribosomal RNA is filed under the name Shigella dysenteriae 155-74. RNAcentral describes it as "23S ribosomal RNA". Lineage: Bacteria; Pseudomonadati; Pseudomonadota; Gammaproteobacteria; Enterobacterales; Enterobacteriaceae. The record is from RNAcentral.